AGGUAGACACUGAAUUCAUAGAGCAGACAAAGAAAGCAUGGGAGGUUAGCUCUGAGUUCCAAGAAUAAAGUAAAGCCAAGUGCCUUCAUGAAGCCCCCAUAAUGUUUGUAAUAAAGCUCACCACUGGGCUUUCUGGCCUCAGUUUCUUCAUCUGCAGAAUCCAUGGGCUAGCCGUGAUUAUACUUAAGGCUAAUACUUUACCCUGAAUAUUCAGGUUCUAGGUAUAUGCUUCAUUAAAACUAUCUAGGGCCUCAGAAGUUUAGAAUUCUGAUUUCGCAAAAUUCUGAUAAAAAAUAAAAUGUGUGAACAUGAGGGCAGCAAUCUUGGUAAUAAGGAAAAGCCUGGGGUAGGGCUGGAAACCUCGUAGGCACAGAGGCCCUCCAAGAGGUCCCUUCCCAUUGAUCGGGCCGGGCUAGGGCAGUCACAGCGUGCUGGUCUGGUGGAGUUUAUGCAGCAACACAAACAAGAAACGCAGCAGCAGGGACAGAAAAUCCCCAUGAAGUCUGCCUUCUGCAACUAACUCUCGGUCCACCCCUCUCCACAUCUUGGUCUUCCCUUCCCAACCCCAUUCACAUCCUUCCAGGGGAGAACGUGCAAGAAAUUUCUCCUUUCCUGCAAGCAAAGGAAUCCAGUAGUGCCACCUUGGUCAGAAUGGCCCUUUGUUCUGCUGUUUAAUGACUAAUUAUGAUGCUAUGAGAGGCAUACACAACUCUGGCAGAGCCAGGCCCUCCUGCUCCAGCAGGGCUGAGCGGCUGGAAGUGUGUAAUCUUCGGAAAGCUGUGACUGCGACCUGGAGUUGCACAUGUGUUCUGGUGAAUGGAGUGAGAUGAGGACUGGGUUUGAGAAGAUUUUGUUGGCUCCACAUGGUUUUGCAAAUCAACCUGCUGCUCCAGUGAUGACAUGCUGCUGAGGGAAGGUUUGGUGGUUCCUGGGAAGUUGAAAGGAUCUGGGCAAGCUUUUUAUUGCUGACUGUGUGCAACUGCCGCAAGGGGUCAAAAGUGCUUGGUUUGCACAACAUCUCCCCGGCAUUCUUACACGUGUGGUUAUGGAAUCAGGGUGCAGGGAAGGGUCAUGGAGCAGAGGGAAUUGCAUGUGCUCGAUCUUUUUCACAUUGGAGCUGCUUUCUGAAACCCGGCACGGGGAAGGUGAGGGUGCUGGAUAGUUUGGGGGGGCCACAGAGUCCUGUGGGUGUUAAAUCUCGGUCCCCCUCUGGGGACUUGUCCUUGCAGGGUGCUCAUCCAGGCCUUAAAAGUUGGCAGCAUCCCCCAGGAACUACCCUGUGAACAAAUCCAGGCUUUCGGAAGCACGUGAUUCUGCAGAAAUGCCACAUUCUCUUCCACAUGGGCUGUGGGCUCUGAGUCCCCCUUUGCUUCCUCGGCCUAUGUACCUGCUGAAGAAGACAGUUGUGUCGUGUACAUGCAACCUAAGGAGGUAACCUUUUACCCAGCCUGAGACUUCAGAGGGUAUUCAUAUUGGGGACCAGCAGCCCGUGAUGUUUGUCCCCCAGAGAGGGGGAGAGAGCUGCUGCCUGCAGAGUGGCUGCUCCUGCUUUGCACGGCCCCUGGCUUCUGCAUCCCUCCAUCCUCCAGCUGGGCACAGAGGUUGCCAAAAGGGCCAGUAGGAGGAGAAGGCUUCAUGGAGGACGGGGGCAAGAGCGGGCCGACCAUGCUGGCUUCCUCGCCUUGUGUCUGGCUGACUGCACAGGCCUGAGGAGGUAACCAACAGCAGAAACAGCUCUGGACAAAUGAGCAAAGGAAGACUCGACUGAGUUUCCCCAGAAUGGAGAGGAGCUGAGGAAGCUCCAGGGCCCACAGCGGAAGCUGGUGGACCAUUUCACUAGGACCCUGGGAGCAAAUCAGUCUGACUUGUGUUUGGCCCCUGAAUCCCCCUGCUCAAGGCUCAGAGUCCUGGAGAAUUGAGGGCAACCCCCACAUUGCAUGCCAUGGAUGGUGGCUUCCCCAGGGGAGUCGGGGUGCUAGGACUAGAGCAUGCCUCCUACAAAUGUUGACUUCCCCAGAAAAAUACCAGCUCUCUUAAGUAAGGGUGGGUCUAUCUGUGGGGAUGAUAGGGUCACCCUUAUUAUUCAUACGUUCCCUGGGCCUGAGAACUUACCUGGAAUACACUUUGUUAAAUAGUAAUA
Molecule: long non-coding RNA, 2140 nt
Filed under: Homo sapiens (human)
Lineage: Eukaryota; Metazoa; Chordata; Mammalia; Primates; Hominidae
Description: HSALNT0331621
Source: RNAcentral